ACGGGAGGCAGCAGUGGGGAAUAUUGGGCAAUGGGCGAAAGCCUGACCCAGCAACGCCGCGUGAAGGAAGAAGGCCUUCGGGUUGUAAACUUCUUUUAUCAGGGACGAAGAACGUGACGGUACCUGAUGAAUAAGCCACGGCUAACUACGUGCCAGCAGCCGCGGUAAUACGUAGGUGGCAAGCGUUAUCCGGAUUUACUGGGUGUAAAGGGCGCGUAGGCGGGGAUGCAAGUCAGGUGUGAAAUCUAUGGGCUUAACCCAUAAACUGCAUUUGAAACUGUAUCUCUUGAGUGUCGGAGAGGUAGAUGGAAUUCCUAGUGUAGCGGUGAAAUGCGUAGAUAUAAGGAAGAACACCAGUGGCGAAGGCGGAUUGCUGGACAGUAACUGACGGUGAGGCGCGAAAGUGUGGGGAGCAAACAGGAUUAGAUACCCUGGUA
RNAcentral lists this ribosomal RNA (437 nucleotides) under uncultured Oscillospiraceae bacterium. Its description in RNAcentral is "bacterial SSU rRNA". It matches the Rfam family "Bacterial small subunit ribosomal RNA", at positions 341 to 792 of the family's 1533-position model. Lineage: Bacteria; Bacillati; Bacillota; Clostridia; Eubacteriales; Oscillospiraceae. The record is from RNAcentral.